UCAGACUCGCACAGACGCCGAGCCCGUGCGCAGGUGUUCCCACCCCCUUUUUUCACUACUCCUCACCAGCGCCAUCGCAGGAGGCGGCGCGGCUCUUAUGCAGGUUGCCGUUCGCCGCCGGCCAAGGAAGAAAACGAAUAGCGCUGUGUGCUGUGCCGCGCGUGCUCAACGUUGUACCACUCGUGGCCCACCGAAGAGCAGCAGCCUUCGCGCGCGCGCACGCACUGAGGACCUUUGCCGCCCUGUGCCUUGUAUCGGCCUCGAAGCUGUUGCUCCGCGCACGCCAGGGAGCGUGAGACUUGGCGGAGGCGUGUCGCAGGGCUUUUUGGCCUCCCCAACCCCCACCAUACUCUCCAUCUUCACUGCUUUCCGCGAGCCAGUGAACUCACCAGCGGCCGCGAGCGCAAAGGAAAGAGAACGAUGCUGCGAAGGGCGAGGUGGCGUCGGCUUAGCGACCGCUGCUGCGGUCUCUCACAGCCGAUGCUCGUUACGACCAAGGCCCCACAACACUCUGUCCGCGGCCGCUGUACAUGCAGUGCACCUUCCGGUGCCGUCUCCACAGCUUGCCGGUCGUCCUCCUCGUGCGUGCCGUCGCCACUCGUGCUAGCCUCUGUAGCUGGCGCAUGUGGUGGACUUCCCAGUGCAGCUCUACGCAUUUCACUUAGGUGCGCGUCAGAUUUGGCAGGUUCAUCGGUGAGCCCCCUGUCGGCAGGCAAGCCGCUGCGCUUCGAACCCCCAUCGUCUAUGUCGCACAGCGCUCUCGCCUACGCCGCGUGCCCCAUGUGCACCCGGGUCGUGCACAUGGGACAGAUGCUGCACCACAUACUCUCUACGCACAAGGAGCAGGACCCGGCAUACUGGAUGCGCCUGUGCAAUGCACGACUGGCCCUGUACGAGCGGGUCACCGGCGCUCCGCUCGAAGGCACGGAGACCAUGCAUGGCGCUUGCUUGGUACAAGCAACUGCGGGUGUCGCCGAUGCCGCCGACUCUGAGGCGAUGAUGCCAGAUGGGCUUUCGCUUUCCACUCCUCUGAGUGCGCAAGACGCACUGCGGCCAUUCUUGCCGACCGUCUCGGAGACUGGGGCGUACACAUGCAACUGGUGCACGCUUAGAAGCGUUGCCUUUUCGAGCCGAGACGCCUUCCUUCUCCACGUCGCCAAGGAUCACCCGAAGCUCGACUUUGACGUUGUGGAGUCGCUUGUUCCUCAGCCUCACACGGUCUUGUCCAGAGCAGCACGCAACGAAGGCACAGACACACCCGCUCCGAGGGCGCCCGCGGCAGAGAGUGACGUGGCGAUGUCGGACUCGUGGACGCGGCAGCAGCGCGGCGGCGCAGGAUGCGUUGGGGCGGCUUCUAACUUACAUGCGGCGGAGGGGUUUCUGGAUGUAGCAUACCCGGUGCGCCGCAUGCCUGGCGUGCGCACCGUGAAGGACACGAACGUCGUGACGGUGAAGCCGGAGGUGCACCAGUUGGGCACCACUGUAGGACGUGUAGGUGGCAAAACGUUCGACCCCGCUCCCAUUUCCACUGGGGGCAGGCGGUCCCGGGCCGCCGUCUUGGCCUCCUCUACGGCCAGCGCUACGGCAGUGGCGAGUGACCUGCACUUCGACAAGGACUGCUUCCCGUGUGAGCUGUGCUUCCGCGUCUUUGUAUCGGAGCUGAAUCUUCUCCAGCACCUCGAAAGUAAGCACGCCAACCCCACCGCUUUUGCCUCCGCGAGCGACGCCGACGUAGAGCGUGGAGCACCUCCCGGCACUGCUUUCGCAUCUUCAACAGCUGCGGCGUCGCCGUCGUCCGUGGAGGUGUUUGUCGUAUGUGAUCGCUGCACAGACCGAAAGAAAGUCUUCCGCUCGUCGUCGGCCCUGUUCUCACACAUUCGCUUCCGCCAUCCUGCGGAGGAUGCGGCCUACGAAACGGAGCGGAUGAUCGAGGAGCAGAAGCAGAGUCGCGUGUUUCAAUGCCGGCAGUGCAGCUAUCGCUACCCAGACGCGACCAGACUGGAUGCGCACAUGCGUGACGCGCACGGGGUUGUGGGCUGCGCCGACGAGAGCACUAUCCGGGGAGGGCGCGUCGUCGCAGGAACGGCGCAGGCGCAUGGAUCUGGUGAACUGAAGACGGCGCAGCCAUCCCUCUUUUCAGCGCUGCCACCGGUCACGGUGCGGACACGAUUUUGGUGCAACGUGUGCGAGAAGGGCUUUGCGAAUGCGUCAGCGCUGUACGCGCACACGGAGUCGAAGCACACGACCAUCGCCAGCCUGUACCCCUGCCCCGCGUGCAAGCGCGAGUUUCGCGAUGUUCCGUCGUUAGAGUUGCAUGUCCGGCUUUGUCACAAGAACCUCAGCCUCAAGGAUAUGGGGCUUCAGUCUUCCGUGGAGUGCCCCGACUGCCUGCGACACUUUCUCAACUACGAGUCACUGCACGAUCACGCCGUUCGACACCACGGCAAGAGCGCCAUCGCCCCUGUCCGCAGCUUCCUAACCCCCGCGUCGGCGUCCACCGCGGGAGACGGAGUCGGUGUUGCUGCUGUUGCUGCUGCUGUACCAGUACCCGGCAUGAGCGCUGAUGCCUCUGGCAGCACGACGCCACCCCUCGCCGUAUCCGCUCCACCGAAGCCGCGCAAGGUAACUCGACGUAAGAAAGAACCAUCAAAGGCUGCCACCGAGUCGUAGCGUGCGAAGAAAAGCAAUGCGAAACGGCAGAGGUUCUGCCUCAAGCCGGCGAGCAAGGCAGCGGCUCCUCUGAGUCUGUGCGUGCUCGCGCGCCCUGCCGUUUCGCCGUCGCCUCUCUGUCGCACACGCUCGCUCGUUUCCUCUCUCUCUCUCUCGAGUGUGCGCUGCGCUCCUCUUCACAGCCUCGUCGUUGGCCCUCUCUUUGAGUUUGCGUGUACAUUUCUCUGCGCCGGGGCGGGCGAGGGGCUCGUUGGCUGGUUCAUUGGUGGUGUUGCCGUUUUACUGUCCCGUGUGUGAGGCGCCGGUGCGCUCGUUCAUAGUUGGGUUUAGCGGAAUGAGCGGAUGGGCGCUUGGCGCCUCAUGUUUCGUUGCCUCGCUCGCGUUAGGUGGGCUGCACGUGUCUGUGCGUGCUCAGCAGAUCGUGAGGAGACUACAAGGGAAGAACACAACUGCAUCAACGCAUAUGCGUACCGAGAGUGGUGCCGCUUCGCACACCGGUGGAUGGACAUGGGCAGUGCGAUUCGGGGUGACGCCGCACAAGCACGACAAGCGCAAAGGCAAGUGACCUGCCUUGAAGGCGGAGACGGGUGAUAGUGAUGAUGGGGGGAUGAGGUCAGAG
RNAcentral lists this unclassified non-coding RNA (3289 nucleotides) under Leishmania donovani. Its description in RNAcentral is "gene:LdHU3.30.0400(CDS-product:mitochondrial_RNA_ binding_protein_1_putative)". The record is from RNAcentral. Lineage: Eukaryota; Euglenozoa; Kinetoplastea; Trypanosomatida; Trypanosomatidae.